RNAcentral lists this ribosomal RNA (460 nucleotides) under uncultured bacterium. RNAcentral describes it as "partial 16S ribosomal RNA". It matches the Rfam family "Bacterial small subunit ribosomal RNA", at positions 338 to 795 of the family's 1533-position model. The record is from RNAcentral.
CCUACGGGUGGCAGCAGUGAGGAAUAUUGGUCAAUGGGCGCGAGCCUGAACCAGCCAAGUAGCGUGAAGGAUGACUGCCCUACGGGUUGUAAACUUCUUUUAUAAAGGAAUAAAGUGAGGCACGUGUGCCGUUUUGUAUGUACUUUAUGAAUAAGGAUCGGCUAACUCCGUGCCAGCAGCCGCGGUAAUACGGAGGAUCCGAGCGUUAUCCGGAUUUAUUGGGUUUAAAGGGAGCGUAGGUGGGUUGUUAAGUCAGGUGUGAAAGUUUGCGGCUCAACCCUAAAAUUGCCAUUGAUACUGGCAGUCUUGAGUACAGUUGAGGUAGGCGGAAUUCGUGGUGUAGCGGUGAAAUGCUUAGAUAUCACGCAGAACUCCGAUUGCGAAGGCAGCUUACUAACCUGACACUGACAUUGAUGCUCGAAAGUGUGGGUAUCAAACAGGAUUAGAUACCCCUGUAGUC